This 1043-nucleotide ribosomal RNA is filed under the name uncultured archaeon. RNAcentral describes it as "bacterial SSU rRNA". It matches the Rfam family "Archaeal small subunit ribosomal RNA", at positions 1 to 1054 of the family's 1478-position model. The record is from RNAcentral.
UCCGGUUGAUCCCGGCGGAGGCCACUGCUAUCGGAGUUCGAUUAAGCCAUGCGAGUCGAGAGGUGUAAGACCUCGGCAUACUGCUCAGUAACACGUGGACAACCUACCCUGAAGAGGGGGAUAACCCCGGGAAACUGGGGAUAAUACCCCAUAGACUGUGGAUGCUGGAAUGCUUUGUAGUUGAAAGGUCCGCCGCUUCAGGAUGGGUCUGCGGCCGAUUAGGUUGUUGUUGGGGUAACGGCCCAACAAGCCUGUAAUCGGUACGGGUUGUGGGAGCAAGAGCCCGGAGAUGGAUUCUGAGACACGAAUCCAGGCCCUACGGGGCGCAGCAGGCGCGAAAACUUUACAAUGCGAGAAAUCGUGAUAAGGGAACUCCGAGUGCCCGUAAAAUCGGGCUGUCCGCCAGUGUAAAUAACUGGUGAAGAAAGGGCCGGGCAAGACCGGUGCCAGCCGCCGCGGUAAUACCGGCGGCUCGAGUGGUGGCCACUAUUACUGGGCUUAAAGCGUUCGUAGCUGGUCUGUUAAGUCUCUGGGGAAAUCUUCCGGCUUAACCGGAAGGCGUCUCAGGGAUACUGGCAGACUAGGGACCGGAAGAGGUGAGAGGUACUCCAGGGGUAGGAGUGAAAUCCUGUAAUCCUUGGGGGACCACCUGUGGCGAAGGCGUCUCACCAGGACGGCUCCGACAGUGAGGAACGAAAGCUGGGGGAGCAAACCGGAUUAGAUACCCGGGUAGUCCCAGCUGUAAACGAUGCGCGUUAGGUGUAUCGGUGACCACGAGUCACCGAGGUGCCGAAGAGAAAUCGCGAAACGCGCCGCCUGGGAAGUACGGUCGCAAGGCUGAAACUUAAAGGAAUUGGCGGGGGAGCACCACAACGGGUGGAGCCUGCGGUUUAAUCGGACUCAACGCCGGGAAACUCACCGGACAAGACAGCUGAAUGAUAGUCGGGCUGAAGACUCUACUUGACUAGCUGAGAGGAGGUGCAUGGCCGUCGUCAGUUCGUACUGUGAAGCAUCCUGUUAAGUCAGGCAACGAGCGAGACCCA